This 468-nucleotide ribosomal RNA is filed under the name uncultured bacterium. RNAcentral describes it as "partial 16S ribosomal RNA". It matches the Rfam family "Bacterial small subunit ribosomal RNA", at positions 28 to 507 of the family's 1533-position model. The record is from RNAcentral.
GACGAACGCUGGCGGCGUGCUUAACACAUGCAAGUCGAACGGAAAGGCCCUGCUUUUGUGGGGUGCUCGAGUGGCGAACGGGUGAGUAACACGUGAGUAACCUGCCCUUGACUUUGGGAUAACUUCAGGAAAUUGGGGCUAAUACAGGAUAGGAGCUCCUGCUGCAUGGUGGGGGUUGGAAAGUUUCGGCGGUUGGGGAUGGACUCGCGGCUUAUCAGCUUGUUGGUGGGGUAGUGGCUUACCAAGGCUUUGACGGGUAGCCGGCCUGAGAGGGUGACCGGCCACAUUGGGACUGAGAUACGGCCCAGACUCCUACGGGAGGCAGCAGUGGGGAAUAUUGUACAAUGGGCGGAAGCCUGAUGCAGCAACGCCGCGUGCGGGAUGACGGCCUUCGGGUUGUAAACCGCUUUCGCCUGUGACGAAGCGUGAGUGACGGUAAUGGGUAAAGAAGCACCGGCUAACUACGUG